GAAAGGAAGUGCAUAUAUAUCACUAUCCCUAACCAGGAACUAUCUCUAAUGACAACCUCUUACAAAGGAAAAAUUAGUUCUCUGAAGAAAAGGAACUCUAUGGUUAGAUGAUAACUAUGGGAAAGUUAAUAAUCACAGGAAGAGAAGUAUCUUUAAAAGGAAUGUGUGCUGAGUAAACAGGACUUUUUCUAUCAUGGAUAAACCAAUAUUUUCUUGACUCCAUCAGAAAAGAGCUGCAGAUCACACAACUCUCAAAUCAAGAGGAAGUAAGCAAGCACAGAUGUCUAGAGUGAUAUUCAAGAUGCCUGGUCCCCCAUAUUGUCCCCUCUUCUUGGCUUGACAUUGACCCACUUAGAAGCAUUCAUGUGGCCUUGUCUUAAAUCUUCAUGCCUAUUGUUUUUAUCUGCAAAUUCAACAAGAUUUGUAUCACCAUGCCUCUGGGAAAAUGCACAGAGAGAAAGUUCAGGCAUUCCACUUCCAAUACAACUUUCUCAGCUACGUUCCAGAAAAUGGUAUGAUAAAACAGGCCUGUCAUCAGGAAAGGGCUUCACUGCUGGAUUUAAAUGAGAAAGCCCAGAUCCAGGCACAGGUCAGCCAGAAGAGAAAACUGCCUGGAAUGUUAUCUUCAAGAAUUAACUAAAACAAAACACCAUAAAUAACCUGAACACAACUCAGAACCAACGAAAAGGAAUGGAACAACUCCCAGAAUGUGAAAUGGACAGGUGUCUAGAGAUCUUGUCUUGUGGAAAAUGAACACAUAUUAUGUUUCAGUG
Non-coding RNA from Peromyscus maniculatus bairdii (prairie deer mouse), 773 nucleotides. The record is from RefSeq and is a predicted model, not a curated record. NCBI's taxonomy places the organism in Eukaryota, Metazoa, Chordata, Mammalia, Rodentia, Cricetidae.